AGAGUUUGAUCCUGGCUCAGGAUGAACGCUGGCGGCGUGCUUAACACAUGCAAGUCGAACGAUGAUUCCAGCUUGCUGGGGGAUUAGUGGCGAACGGGUGAGUAACACGUGAGUAACCUGCCCUUAACUCUGGGAUAAGCCUGGGAAACUGGGUCUAAUACCGGAUAUGACUCCUCAUCGCAUGGUGGGGGGUGGAAAGCUUUAUUGUGGUUUUGGAUGGACUCGCGGCCUAUCAGCUUGUUGGUGAGGUAAUGGCUCACCAAGGCGACGACGGGUAGCCGGCCUGAGAGGGUGACCGGCCACACUGGGACUGAGACACGGCCCAGACUCCUACGGGAGGCAGCAGUGGGGAAUAUUGCACAAUGGGCGAAAGCCUGAUGCAGCGACGCCGCGUGAGGGAUGACGGCCUUCGGGUUGUAAACCUCUUUCAGUAGGGAAGAAGCGAAAGUGAUGGUACCUGCAGAAGAAGCGCCGGCUAACUACGUGCCAGCAGCCGCGGUAAUACGUAGGGCGCAAGCGUUAUCCGGAAUUAUUGGGCGUAAAGAGCUCGUAGGCGGUUUGUCGCGUCUGCCGUGAAAGUCCGGGGCUCAACUCCGGAUCUGCGGUGGGUACGGGCAGACUAGAGUGAUGUAGGGGAGACUGGAAUUCCUGGUGUAGCGGUGAAAUGCGCAGAUAUCAGGAGGAACACCGAUGGCGAAGGCAGGUCUCUGGGCAUUAACUGACGCUGAGGAGCGAAAGCAUGGGGAGCGAACAGGAUUAGAUACCCUGGUAGUCCAUGCCGUAAACGUUGGGCACUAGGU
This 800-nucleotide ribosomal RNA is filed under the name uncultured bacterium. Its description in RNAcentral is "bacterial SSU rRNA". It matches the Rfam family "Bacterial small subunit ribosomal RNA", at positions 8 to 821 of the family's 1533-position model. The record is from RNAcentral.